GACGAACGCUGGCGGCGUGCUUAACACAUGCAAGUCGAACGGAAAGGCCCUGCUUUUGUGGGGUGCUCGAGUGGCGAACGGGUGAGUAACACGUGAGUAACCUGCCCUUGACUUUGGGAUAACUUCAGGAAACUGGGGCUAAUACCGGAUAGGAGCUCCUGCUGCAUGGUGGGGGUUGGAAAGUUUCGGCGGUUGGGGAUGGACUCGCGGCUUAUCAGCUUGUUGGUGGGGUAGUGGCUUACCAAGGCUUUGACGGGUAGCCGGCCUGAGAGGGUGACCGGCGACAUUGGGACUGAGAUACGGCCCAGACUCCUACGGGAGGCAGCAGUGGGGAAUAUUGCACAAUGGGCGGAAGCCUGAUGCAGCAACGCCGCGUGCGGGAUGACGGCCUUCGGGGUGUAAACCGCUUUAGCCUGUGACGAAGCGUGAGUGACGGUAAUGGGUAAAGAAGCACCGGCUAACUACGUG
RNAcentral lists this ribosomal RNA (468 nucleotides) under uncultured bacterium. RNAcentral describes it as "partial 16S ribosomal RNA". It matches the Rfam family "Bacterial small subunit ribosomal RNA", at positions 28 to 507 of the family's 1533-position model. The record is from RNAcentral.